This 284-nucleotide long non-coding RNA is filed under the name Ananas comosus (pineapple). RNAcentral's name for it is "long non-coding RNA (ACOM_LNC035805)". The record is from RNAcentral. Lineage: Eukaryota; Viridiplantae; Streptophyta; Magnoliopsida; Poales; Bromeliaceae.
UAGCGCCUGCUGGAGCAGGUAGAGAGCCGAGUGGUACUAUCAAAUGGCUAGUAAUGGUUCUUGGACGAGGAGUGGGACUCGUGGUAAACCUGAAAUGGUGAAUUGACUCUCAAGGUAAUGGAUAGGGGAUUGCGAGAGUUGGACCUUGAUGCUUGCGGAUACCUGAGUAGCCUGAGAAUUUUGGAUACCGUUCAGGUAGAUCGAAUAGUGAGAGUAGGAUCAUUGUUAAGAGAGUAGCCGGUUAGUGGCCGAGUACGAGCACUAGGAUAGGCGAGUUGUGCCUG